This 497-nucleotide ribosomal RNA is filed under the name uncultured bacterium. Its description in RNAcentral is "partial 16S ribosomal RNA". It matches the Rfam family "Bacterial small subunit ribosomal RNA", at positions 28 to 507 of the family's 1533-position model. The record is from RNAcentral.
GAUGAACGCUGGCGGCGUGCCUAAUACAUGCAAGUCGAGCGAACAGACGAGGAGCUUGCUCCUCUGACGUUAGCGGCGGACGGGUGAGUAACACGUGGAUAACCUACCUAUAAGACUGGGAUAAAUUCGGGAAACCGGAGCUAAUAACGGAUAAUAUAUUGAACCGCAUGGUUCAAUAGUGAAAGACGGUUUUGCUGUCACUUAUAGAUGGAUCCGCGCCGCAUUAGCUAGUUGGUAAGGUAACGGCUUACCAAGGCAACGAUGCGUAGCCGACCUGAGAGGGUGAUCGGCCACACUGGAACUGAGACACGGUCCAGACUCCUACGGGAGGCAGCAGUAGGGAAUCUUCCGCAAUGGGCGAAAGCCUGACGGAGCAACGCCGCGUGAGUGAUGAAGGUCUUCGGAUCGUAAAACUCUGUUAUUAGGGAAGAACAAAUGUGUAAGUAACUAUGCACGUCUUGACGGUACCUAAUCAGAAAGCCACGGCUAACUACGUG